RNAcentral lists this unclassified non-coding RNA (329 nucleotides) under soil metagenome. RNAcentral describes it as "partial contains 5.8S ribosomal RNA, internal transcribed spacer 2, and large subunit ribosomal RNA". The stretch from base 1 to 120 matches the Rfam family "5.8S ribosomal RNA", at positions 35 to 154 of the family's 154-position model. The record is from RNAcentral.
GAUGAAGAACGUAGCGAAAUGCGAUAAGUAGUGUGAAUUGCAGAAUUCAGUGAAUCAUUGAAUCUUUGAACGCACAUUGCGCCCCUUGGUAUCCCGAGGGGCAUGCCUGUUCGAGCGUCAUUUCACCACUCAAGCCUGGCUUGGUGUUGGGCGACGUCCUCUUUGGGGACGCGCCUCGAAACGCUCGGCGGCGUGGCACCGGCUUUAAGCGUAGCAGAAUCUUUCGCUUUGGAAGUCGGGGCCCCGUCUGCCGGAAGACCUGCUCGCAAGGUUGACCUCGGAUCAGGCAGGGAUACCCGCUGAACUUAAGCAUAUCAAUAAGCGGAGGA